Molecule: ribosomal RNA, 254 nt
Filed under: uncultured bacterium
Lineage: Bacteria
Description: partial 16S ribosomal RNA
Rfam family: Bacterial small subunit ribosomal RNA
Source: RNAcentral
GACGUAGGGGACGAGCGUUGUCCGGAUUUAUUGGGCGUAAAGAGCUCGUAGGCGGCUUGGCAAGUCGGGUGUGAAAACUCCAGGCUCAACCUGGAGAUGCCACUCGAGACUGCUAUGGCUAGAGUCCGGUAGGGGACCACGGAAUUCCUGGUGUAGCGGUGAAAUGCGCAGAUAUCAGGAGGAACACCGGUGGCGAAGGCGGUGGUCUGGGCCGGCACUGACGCUGAGGAGCGAAAGCGUGGGGAGCAAACAGG